CGGGAAAAAAAAACAAAUUGUCAAACGCGAACGCGAUAAUACACUCACUGCGCACACGCGCACGCGGGCUGGAAUACGACGACGAUAUUCAAAAAUAAUAACAAAAAUAAACACCGCACAAUAACGUUUUAAGGUACUAUGACGUAUCGUUUUCGCAGUAGAACGCGCGGUGGGAGGCGCGAGAGAAAAACGCACACGGGUCGGAACGCGCACGAGAACACAACACAAAAAGAACGACCGGGCGACGGACGACGACUGCGGCGUGU
Cinara cedri is the source of this 266-nucleotide non-coding RNA. Lineage: Eukaryota; Metazoa; Arthropoda; Insecta; Hemiptera; Aphididae. The record is from the annotation of a GenBank genome assembly.